RNAcentral lists this ribosomal RNA (495 nucleotides) under uncultured bacterium. RNAcentral describes it as "partial 16S ribosomal RNA". It matches the Rfam family "Bacterial small subunit ribosomal RNA", at positions 28 to 507 of the family's 1533-position model. The record is from RNAcentral.
GACGAACGCUGGCGGCGUGCCUAAUACAUGCAAGUAGAACGCUGAAGGAGGAGCUUGCUUCUCUGGAUGAGUUGCGAACGGGUGAGUAACGCGUAGGUAACCUGCCUGGUAGCGGGGGAUAACUAUUGGAAACGAUAGCUAAUACCGCAUAAGAGUAGAUGUUGCAUGACAUUUGCUUAAAAGGUGCAAUUUCAUCACUACCAGAUGGACCUGCGUUGUAUUAGCUAGUUGGUGGGGUAACGGCUCACCAAGGCGACGAUACAUAGCCGACCUGAGAGGGUGAUCGGCCACACUGGGACUGAGACACGGCCCAGACUCCUACGGGAGGCAGCAGUAGGGAAUCUUCGGCAAUAGACGGAAGUCUGACCGAGCAACGCCGCGUAAGUGAAGAAGGGUUUCGGAUCGUAAAGCUCUGUUGUAAGAGAAGAACGAGUGUGAGAGUGGAAAGUUCACACUGUGACGGUAUCUUACCAGAAAGGGACGGCUAACUACGUG